Molecule: long non-coding RNA, 149 nt
Filed under: Salvator merianae (Argentine black and white tegu)
Lineage: Eukaryota; Metazoa; Chordata; Lepidosauria; Squamata; Teiidae
Description: lncRNA (ENSSMRG00000014034.1)
Source: RNAcentral
GUUUCUUAACGCAAAUGGAAAAAGAGCACAGGAAGUAAUCAAGAAUGAUGAAUGUUCUGUCUGUGUCAGUGAUAGCCAAGGCAAGAAAAAUCCAAAAGCAGUUUACAAGAGAAAAUCAUGAAAAUACAUUUAUUUGGAUCAAGUCCUGA